CCUGUACACGGCUACUUACAU
RNAcentral lists this microRNA (21 nucleotides) under Strongylocentrotus purpuratus (purple sea urchin). Its description in RNAcentral is "Spu-Mir-252-P1_3p* (star (passenger))". Lineage: Eukaryota; Metazoa; Echinodermata; Echinoidea; Camarodonta; Strongylocentrotidae. The record is from RNAcentral.